Oncorhynchus keta (chum salmon) is the source of this 496-nucleotide long non-coding RNA. RefSeq lists it as uncharacterized. NCBI's taxonomy places the organism in Eukaryota, Metazoa, Chordata, Actinopteri, Salmoniformes, Salmonidae. The record is from RefSeq and is a predicted model, not a curated record. The transcript has 3 exons.
UAAACAUACAGAGAGACAGAACCAUUACAUCGCGAAACGUAUUUAGAGACAAACAGAGAAAGGGAGAACACAUCGACCAUUGCUCUCAGGGUCAGAGCCAACAGAGUCAAAUAAUUAAAUGAGCUGUCCCACGCACACAUACACAGACUCAGCAAGUGUUCAUGUCUGUACGGGCGCAGUGCACGCUGACACGGUCGACAGGUGCAAGGUGUUUCCUCCGACACAUUGGUGUGGCUGGCUCCCAGGUUAAGUGAGUAGUGUGUCAAGAAGCAGUGCGGCUUGGCGGGGUCGUGUUUUGGAGGAUGCACUGCAGUGAUGGGACAAGACUAACUACCAAUUGGAUACCACAAACUUGUGGAGAAAAAGAGAGUGCAUCCAGAUUGACAGGAAUGGACAGUUCCUGGAGCAAGUCCACUAAUCUCCCUGGUCAAUGGGCUUUUUCCUUCUCAUCCUGCUCCACCCUCUCCCAUUGGUGCACUGGGCUGUCACUCACAUU